GCAGGUAUAGCUCAGUGGUAGAGUGCGUGCUUAGCAUGUAUGAGGCCCUGGGUUCAAUCCCUAGUACCUCCA
Non-coding RNA from Budorcas taxicolor (takin), 72 nucleotides. The record is from the annotation of a RefSeq genome assembly. Lineage: Eukaryota; Metazoa; Chordata; Mammalia; Artiodactyla; Bovidae.